UCAAAAAUUAAGUUGCUGGUUGUUCAACGGCCAGGCUGUUCUAGUUCUGAAGAAGCAAUUUCAUGUAGGCCAUCAUACCAGAGGGGAAAUAGGCCUACUCGCCAACAUCAUUCAACAUCUCCAACCAGAUUGUACCGCUCGUGUAGGUGUGUUUAUUUGUCAUGCUAGUAAUAAUAUAUUGAGAAUGCAUAAAUACAUUUUAAUUACUCCGGUUGAAAAGAUGUGGAGUGAGAAUGGAAACUCAAAGAAACUUUUUGCAACUUAUGAAACAGAACAUGACUUGUGUGACAAGCAAGAAGCCCAAGAUGUCAGCUUUCCAAGAUCACUCAGAGAGCAGGAGCUGAAAGGCACUUGUUUGGGCUUAAAUCGUGGGAUUUCGUUAUCAGUUGCAGUAAGUCAUCCAAAUCUCUUAAACAUUUUUAUAUAUGAGAACCAGAGAACAUCGAACCAUAGUUCUCAAGAAAAGGCUAAAACAAUGUCAAUGCAGCUUUCACAGAGAUGA
RNAcentral lists this long non-coding RNA (502 nucleotides) under Prunus dulcis (almond). RNAcentral describes it as "sRNA ncRNA". Lineage: Eukaryota; Viridiplantae; Streptophyta; Magnoliopsida; Rosales; Rosaceae. The record is from RNAcentral.